RNAcentral lists this ribosomal RNA (468 nucleotides) under uncultured organism. Its description in RNAcentral is "partial 16S ribosomal RNA". It matches the Rfam family "Bacterial small subunit ribosomal RNA", at positions 332 to 797 of the family's 1533-position model. The record is from RNAcentral.
UACACUCCUACGGGAGGCAGCAGUGAGGAAUAUUGGACAAUGGGUGGAAGCCUGAUCCAGCCAUCCCGCGUGCAGGAAGACGGCCCUAUGGGUUGUAAACUGCUUUUAUCUGGGGAUAAACCUACUUACGUGUAAGUAGCUGAAGGUACCAGAAGAAUAAGCACCGGCUAACUCCGUGCCAGCAGCCGCGGUAAUACGGAGGGUGCAAGCGUUAUCCGGAUUUAUUGGGUUUAAAGGGUCCGUAGGCGGACUGAUAAGUCAGUGGUGAAAUCCGACAGCUUAACUGUCGAACUGCCAUUGAUACUGUUAGUCUUGAGUAAGGUUGAAGUGGCUGGGAUAAGUAGUGUAGCGGUGAAAUGCAUAGAUAUUACUUAGAACACCAAUUGCGAAGGCAGGUCACUAAGUCUUAACUGACGCUGAUGGACGAAAGCGUGGGGAGCGAACAGGAUUAGAAACCCUGGUAGUCCC